AAGCACUAAUUAAAAAACCAAAUACUAUAUAAAUUUCACCACCGAUAAUAAAUUAUUGCCAUAAAAAAACACAAAAAGAAUUACAAGCGCGAGAUUUGCGAGCCUAAUGGGUACAAAGACAUGGGGACCGGUGGACGGGGGUGCGACUUCUCUUUCUUUUUCGAUUUCUCAGAUAUAUUUUCUGUGUUAGCAUUAGAUUUGCGUGACGACGGAGAAGAGAAAAAACACCUAAAAAAGCUUGAGCUGAACAAACCCAUAGCUAGAGAGUAGUAAAUGUUGAGUAUAUAUACAAUUUUUGUUGUAGGCAAUAUUGUUAAAAUCUUAUAUGCUAAAAAAGAUGAUGAAUGAA
Molecule: long non-coding RNA, 349 nt
Filed under: Erythranthe guttata (spotted monkey flower)
Lineage: Eukaryota; Viridiplantae; Streptophyta; Magnoliopsida; Lamiales; Phrymaceae
Description: long non-coding RNA (EGUT_LNC001410)
Source: RNAcentral